This 211-nucleotide unclassified non-coding RNA is filed under the name plant metagenome. Its description in RNAcentral is "partial contains small subunit ribosomal RNA, internal transcribed spacer 1, and 5.8S ribosomal RNA". The record is from RNAcentral.
UUUCCGUAGGUGAACCUGCGGAAGGAUCAUUCAUAAUAAAGUGUCUUAUGGCACUUUUUAAAAAUCCAUAUCCACCUUGUGUGCAAUGUUAGAUCUCGUCAAUCUUGGCGAGAUUUUUAUACAUCAACUCAUUCUUUAACUAAUUUGUCUGAAAAAUAUUAUGAAUACUUAAUUCAAAAUACAACUUUCAACAACGGAUCUCUUGGCUCUC